This 427-nucleotide ribosomal RNA is filed under the name uncultured bacterium. RNAcentral describes it as "bacterial SSU rRNA". It matches the Rfam family "Bacterial small subunit ribosomal RNA", at positions 355 to 773 of the family's 1533-position model. The record is from RNAcentral.
UAGGGAAUUUUGCACAAUGGGCGCAAGCCUGAUGCAGCAACGCCGCGUGAGUGAAGAAGGCCUUUGGGUUGUAAAGCUCUUUCGGCCGGGAAGAAGGGGUCGUCCGUGAACAAUUGGCGAUUCUGACGGUACCGGAAGAAGAAGCACCUGCUAACUUCGUGCCAGCAGCAGCGGUAAUACGAAGGGUGCAAGCGUUAAUCGGAAUUACUGGGCGUAAAGCGUGCGCAGGCGGUUUUGUAAGUCUGUUGUGAAAUCCCCGGGCUCAACCUGGGAAUGGCAAUGGAGACUGCAAGGCUAGAGUUUGGCAGAGGGGGGUAGAAUUCCACGUGUAGCAGUGAAAUGCGUAGAUAUGUGGAGGAACACCGAUGGCGAAGGCAGCCCCCUGGGUCAAAACUGACGCUCAUGCACGAAAGCGUGGGGAGCAAAC